RNAcentral lists this ribosomal RNA (119 nucleotides) under Pteropus alecto (black flying fox). Lineage: Eukaryota; Metazoa; Chordata; Mammalia; Chiroptera; Pteropodidae. The record is from RNAcentral.
GUCUACGGCCAUGCCACCCUGAAUGUGCCUGAUCUCGUCUGAUGUUGGAAGCUAAACAGGGUCAGGCCUGGUUAGUACUUGGAUGGGAGACCACCUAGGAGUACCGGGUGCUGUAGGCA